UGGCGGAUACGAUGCGUAUCGAGUGUACGUAAUCCGGGCCCUGUUGUUUAUUUUUCGUUUACUGUGGUUUAACCUCACUUAACUAGAUAGAUCGAGAAAUAUUAAAUUACUAUUACUAUUAUUCAGGUUGAAAAAUGCCUUCCUGUAAGGUAAAAGGUUGCGAAGUCGAUUGGGGAAAAAUAAUGUGAAAAUGAAUUCUUUCCCAAAAGAAUCUGAACGACGGAAAGUGUGGAUUAAAAAUAUAGGGUUAAAACAAGAUCCAAACAAAUAUGCUGUUGUUUGUGAAAAAAACUGUAAAUAGUAACGAUUUUGAAUGAGUGAGAAGUCUAAUAAAGCCACGACGAGAUACUGUAUUAGAGCGUACGAUUUGGAGGUAUUUUUGAUUAGAUACAUUUUGUAAAGUACAAUAUAAAUUAGAUUUGAUAAUGUGUAGUAUUUCCUAAUAAAUUAAAUACUAUUAAGUGUUUAUUGUUCUUGUAAGUUAGUGUGGUAAAUAAAUAAUAUGAAGUAAG
RNAcentral lists this unclassified non-coding RNA (512 nucleotides) under Diabrotica virgifera virgifera (western corn rootworm). RNAcentral's name for it is "uncharacterized LOC126881665". The record is from RNAcentral. Lineage: Eukaryota; Metazoa; Arthropoda; Insecta; Coleoptera; Chrysomelidae.